Long non-coding RNA from Hypanus sabinus (Atlantic stingray), 1657 nucleotides. RefSeq lists it as uncharacterized. NCBI's taxonomy places the organism in Eukaryota, Metazoa, Chordata, Chondrichthyes, Myliobatiformes, Dasyatidae. The transcript has 3 exons. The record is from RefSeq and is a predicted model, not a curated record.
UUCUGGUUUUGCCCGGUCUCGCCGUUGAAGUAAUUGUGAUGCUGUUAAAUUGUCCCGAAAGCAAUCAAUGACCGCUGCCGGCUCUAUUCAUACCCUACCUCAGGCUGGAUUGGCCAUUAUUUUCAACUUUUCUUUUUAAUUAGGGGAUAAUGCUAGCAAUUCACCUAAGUGAAGUGGAGGUCUUACUUUUUUCAUCGCUCUUUCUAGUCAUGAGAAUUGUUCCCUGUCUAAGUCGUUUCGCAAUUAUCCAAGUACCUUUUAGUUAUUGUGUGGGUGUCUUAGUGUGACUCAGCAUUGCAGGUAAGUAAUAUUCCAAUAGUUUAAACCCCGGGGAAAACUCUUAAAUGAACAAUAUAAACACAAGAGAUUCUGCAGAUGCUGGACGUCUUGAACAGCACACACAAAGUGCUGGAGGAACUCAGUGAGUCAGACAGCAUCUAUAGAAAGUCGACCCUUCAUCAGGACUGGAAAGGAAAGGAAAGGAAUAGACGCCAGAAUAAGAACGAGGCAGAGCCAGAAGAUUAAGAUGUAUGGGAUCCAUUUGACUGGCUUGCUGACAGAAGACAGACGUGUCUUACUCUGGUUGGAGGUGUGUGACGGAUUGUUUUCCAUGGGAAUCCAUAUUGGGACCUUUGUUUGUGAAGCAGAUAAAACACUUGGAUGAUGGCCACAGGUGAGGUGCCAGAAAAUGUCGUUCUUAUAUUUUUAAAAGGCAGCAGGUAACUACAAACUGAUGAACCUCAUAUCAGUGGUAGACAACACGUUGGAAAAUAAACUAACGGAUGUAAUAUAAAUACGGCACAUAUGGGAAAGCAGGUGCUAAUCAGGCAUAGCAAACAUGGCGUAUUCUUGGUGUUCACCUGAUGGAGAAUCUCACCUGGUCCCUCGACACCAGCUCCAUAGCAAAGAAAGCCCAGCAGCAUCUCUACUUGCUGCAAAGGCUGAGGAAAGUCCAUCUCCCACCUCCCAUCCUCAUCACAUUCUACAGGGGUUAUAUUGAGAGCAUCCUGAGCAGCUGCAUCACUGCCUGGUUCGGAAAUUGCACCAUCUUGGAUCGCAAGACCUUGCAACGGAUAGUGAGGUCAGCUGAGAAGAUCAUCGGGGUCUCUCUUCCUGCCAUCACGGACAUUUACAGUACGCGCUGCAUCUGCAAAGGAAACAGCAUUAUGAAGGACCCCAUGCAUCCCUCAUACAAUCUCUUCUCCCUCCUGCUGUAUAGGAAAAGGCUCCGAAGUAUUUGGGCUCUCACGACCAGACUAUGUAACAGUUUCUUCCCCCAAGCUAUCAGACUCCUCAAUACCCGAAGCCUGGACUGACACCUUGCCCUACUGUCCUGUUUAUUAUUUAUUGUAAUGCCAGUACUGUUUUUGUGCACUUUGUGCAGUCCAGUGUAGGUCUGUAGUCUAGUGUAGCUUUCUCUGUGUUUUUUUAUUAUGUAGUUCAGUCUAGUUUUUUGUACUGUGUCAUGUAACACCAUGGUCCUGAAAAACGUUGUCUCAUUUUUACUAUGCGCUGUACCAGCAGUUAUGGUUGAAAUGACAAUAAAACUUGACUUGACUUAUGUGGGAGAUGCCAUGUCUCAUUAAUUUGGUUGAAGUUUUUUGAGAAGGUAACUAAGAAAAUUGAUGAAUACAGGGUAUUAGACAGCUGGAGGAAC